This is a non-coding RNA of Chlorocebus sabaeus (green monkey), 3179 nucleotides long. Lineage: Eukaryota; Metazoa; Chordata; Mammalia; Primates; Cercopithecidae. The record is from RefSeq and is a predicted model, not a curated record.
CCGGAAUCCUGAACUGCCCCUCUUCACCUGUAACUGUUUGCAACACAAUCCCCAUCUCCGAAUAACAAGAUUUUCUCCUUUCAUGAAGGGUUGCUCAAGUCAAGAAACACAUAUGAAGCUCAUUUCUGCCACCCUUCCUAGAAAACUGGUUCCUGACAGAGACAUGUGGAAAGAUUGGAUAAUAUAUACUGUUCCAGCUUCAAGUUCACUGGUUCUUCUAUCAUCUUCAAACUGCUAUUAAGCCCAUCAGAAAUGCAAUUUCAGAUGGUGUAUUUUUCAGUUCUGAAAUUUCCAUUUGGUUCUUUUUUUAUAUAGUUUCUGUUUCUCUGCUGAGAUUUCCUAUGUGUUCAUUUAUUAAGAGUUUAUGUUCCUUUACAUAUUUGAUUAAGGUUAUAAUCACUGCUUUAAACUCUGUAGGCAAAUUCUGAAACCUGGGUCAUCUUAGAGUCAUUCUGCCUUGAUUGCAUUUUCUUUUAAGUAUAGGUCACAUUUUUCUGUCUCCUCAUAUACCUAGUAAUUUUGGAUUAUGUCCUGGAUAUUGUAAAUAAUAAAAUCUCUGGAUUCUGUUACAUUCCUCCAAAGAAUGUUUAAUUUUUGUUUUAUUGUGUUUUAGCAGCCUGUUAGCUUGGAUGAAAUAAAACAACAAACUCUUAUUUUCUCUGUGGUACAUGGCAGCUGAAAUUUGUGUUCAGUUAUUUUAUUCUUAAUUAGGUUGCUUAAAAGCUGAACUACACAUGCAUAAUUUAGAUGUCAGUCAAAUAUUUUGAGUAUUUAUAUGCAGAAUCUGGAGCUUCUGUUCUCACUCAAUCCUGUCUGAGGUUUUGUCACCCCAACUCUGAUGUAUGAUGCAUUGAGCCAGAUUGCUCUAAACAUGAGUUUUAGCUGAUCUGUGUGAUAGAGACUAGUGUAUGCUUGUCAAAGUCGUAAAAACAGAAAAUUCACUCUUCUUCCUAGUAUAGAUUUUCCUUCAGUUUCUGCUUGGUUUUGACCAUUCUCCAGUACCUUCAGAUAGUUGAUUUUUGCAUUUUGUUCAGCACUAUAAUUGUUGUCUGUGGGAAAGUUGGUCAUGUAGUAACCACUCAGUUGUUUUUUAUAAAUUGUAAUCAUUUGUUCAUGUAACUUCACAGAUUGUAACAGUAUGUGGACAAUCCAAAUUUUGUUAUUACUAAGAUUUUAAUCUACCCUUCCAUUCAUAGGAGUUACAAAUGAGCAAUUUGAGUUUUCUACUUUUCUGUUUUUCUCAAUCUCCUUAUAAAUGUGCUAAUGAUGAGUCAAAUAUUGAACAGCAUUUUGCCUUGGUGGCAGUGAGCCAAAACUACCUGUAGUGUGGGGUGGUAUAAAGAACUCAUGAUUUUGCAUUGAAUUUUCGGAUCUGCCACUACUAGGGAUGAGAUCUUGGGUGAAUCAUAUUUAACUCCAAUAUUCUUUAUUUCUACAAAGGCAUGAAAAAUGCCACCCUCAAAUGGUUAUUGAGAAGAUUAUGGGUUAAUGUAAUGGAAAAAGUUUUCUAUACUGCAGAACACAACACAUUAGGCAUUAUUAAUUGUCAGUACUCUUUGCUCAGUUACCAGCCAAAAGAAAACCUAUCAAGUGAGUACAUUGUUUAUGUAAACAAUAUAUAAAUUAUCAUAUCAGUUGAUAUGUGACUGUAAAGUAUUUCAAGAGGAAAGAGACUAUAUCAAAGAAGCCAAAUGAAAACCAGGUAUCUGCCACUGAAUCCAUCUUUUUCCAGGCCUCUGCCUCAGCCUCAUGGUCUCCUUCUUCGAUAAAACAGGAAUGUCUCAGGUGAAGCUUAGAGGCAACUCACAAACAGGACUUCCUCAGGUUGUGGCAAUGCUUUACAUUUGUGUAAUGCUUUAUCAUUUAAAAAGAGCACAUUAGCAUACAUUGCCUCAUCUGAUCAAAAUGUACUUUUUAAUCAUCUAAGUAAACAUAGAUGCCUCAUUUAUUUUUCACCUUCAUCCACAAAAGGUUUAAGAAAAUCAUAUAGCCAUGUCUUUUCUUAUAUUACUCUUAUUUUAUAGUAACAUUUCCUAUAAUAUAAACUACAUCAAUAUAGACACUGUUUUCACUGAAGGCUAAGGUCUACUUUGUAGUAAGUAAAAAUGAUACCUAUGAGUGAAACCACUCUACUGAGCACUGUCAUUCAAACAAUUCAAAGACCAUUAGUGAUCAAAGUAUGUUGAUCAGUUAACUAACAUAAGCCUGAAAGAUCUCCUAUUUCUCCAGUCAAGUUAGCACUCUCUAUAAAGUUCAUGCAAACUUGUCUGGAGAAUAAGAUACCUUUUAGGCCUAGUCCACUUGAAAUAAUAUGUUAUUAAUAAUGCUGUCUUAAAAGAAAUAAAGAAAACUAUUAACUUUCAGGCUAACAAAAACAUUUCACUGUUUAAGCAUACCACGAUAGUUUAUUUAUGUUACUAAUAAAACAAUAAAGAUCAGAUCAGCAUAUAUUUUUAAAAGUAUAAUAUUCAGCCUUCAUUCAAUCAUUUAUUUCAGAAACCAUCAGAGAUCUCUGCAAUUCUAAUUUAUUCAUACUAUUUUCUAUUACUGGGUCAACUGACAAAUCUACUUUAUUUGCUGUUUUCUUCCCACGAAAUAUAAGGGAGAAAUGUUUUCAAAGAGCAUCAAUUUAUUUUAAAGUUUUUAUUAAUAUGUGAGGAGCUUAUAAACAAAUACAUUGCAUUAAUUAUAGCACCUUAAAGGAGGUAAAAAUUAAGAGAGUUUGGGUGGAAAUAUCAGUAUCUGAUAUUAUUAUAAAUCCAUCAUUGAGACAAGUCAAGUUAAUUUAUAGGAAGGCAACUCUACAGAUAUGUCCUGUUUUAAGCAAAAUCAAGCAUGAAGAUAGCUAAUCUCAUAGCAAAUUUUAAUGCAGAGAUGAUUCUUCUUGUCCUAGGAUUUGUUGCUUUACCAAAAAGAUUUACUAAAAGGUUUAAAUGGAUCAUUAUUUUAAUGCAACUGAAACAAUUUUAUUUACCAAAAAAUUAAGUUGCAUACAAUUUUGUAGGUACAUUUCUAAUGUACAAAGCUAAGUGUAACUGUAUUCACCUUUUAAAAAUUAAACUUAAUUUUUUAAUUGAUACAAUAAUUGUACAUAUUUAUGGAGUAUAAAGUGGUGUUUCCAUACACGUAUAGUGAUCAAAUCAGGGUAAUUAGCAUAUGCAUCAUCUCAAACAUUUAGC